This is a long non-coding RNA of Rosa chinensis, 1639 nucleotides long. RefSeq lists it as uncharacterized. The record is from RefSeq and is a predicted model, not a curated record. The transcript has 3 exons. NCBI's taxonomy places the organism in Eukaryota, Viridiplantae, Streptophyta, Magnoliopsida, Rosales, Rosaceae.
ACAAACUGCACCAUGCGUCGAGCUCUCAACCCAAGACGACGCCGUCUACAAAUGUGUACAGGGUCUUAAAUGAUAUGAAUUACAAAGGUGUUACACCCAAUUCAAGGUUGAGAGCAUACCUGGAAGCAUCAAAAAUGUUUCUGGCCUUCGUACUCUGAAGUUAAGCAAUUGUAAGAAGCUUCAAUCUUUCCCAGAGAGCUCCCACCGCUGCUAGAAAUUUUGGACGCAGAUGGCUGCACGUCAUUGCAGAGCUAGGGUGGCAAGUUCAAGGACGACUGUACAUCAAUAUGAAGAUCCUUAUUACCGCGAAGAACGUCUUGUGUUUAUGGAUUGCGUAAAUUUUAAUGAGGGUUCAAGGAGCAACAUAAUGGAUAAUGCACGGAUUAGAAUUAUGCAAAUGGCAUCAUCGAAUUCGAAAAUUCAUAAAACAAAACAUGUACGUCUCUGCACACACGCUUUUUGUCUACUUUAAGUUCUUAUAUGACGUGUCCUGUUUGAGAUCGCUAUUCAAUGGAGGAUUCAGUUUAGAGUCAUUUACCCGGGAAAUGAAAUUCCGGAAUGGUUCAGCUAUUGUGCGGAGCGAUGUUCAGCGGAAAUCGACUUUUCUCCAGAUUGGUUUCAUAUGAGAGACUUCUUGGGUAUCGCUGUAUAUGUUGUUGCUGCUGGCAUGCCCAGCUAUGAUUUCAUUUGUUACUGCUAUUACGAAACCGACACUAGUGAAGGCUAUGGAUACAAAUUCCAAUCCCCAAAUACUUUGUUCCCACACGGGCUAAGUAAUGAUCCAGAUCAUGUGUUGUGGUCCUUUAAUUAGCAAGGGAAAACAUUCAAGUGCAGGAGCCAGCCCCAUUCCCUUCACCAAGGUCGCUAAAGCGUCUUUUCACUUCGAACUCGUGCAUGGAGACCGGAAAUUGAAGGCAUGUGGGAUCCGCAUGUUGUGUGCCCAUGAUUCUGGUCGGGGCACUAGCAGGGUUUAUAGAGAUAUGUAAACACAGGUGGCUCGUCAAGCGGUCUUGCUGAUCCGACUGUUGAUGAGAGUUAAAGCAGAUGUGCCUUUGCAAGAGGUGGAACUAGGAGGAGGAGAUUAUCCAAUUUCCAAGUAGUUGAAACUUUUGAUCUUUCAUUUUUCAAAUAUUGAUAGCAUACAUCCAACUGUCUUCAGGAACAACCCCAGGAAGAAAAUGAAGAGGCUCUGUACUUACCAAUGCUGGUGAAUCUUUUUUCCAAUGAACGAUGGACCCUGAUCAGAAUAUCGGAGAAAUGCUAAAUUUGAAAAGGAGGAAGACCCCAUCGAUUUUGAAAAAGCUCUCGACUAUAUUUUGUGGGAUUAACCCGUAUAAUGUUCAAGGAUAUGGUACAAAUAAAGAAUGUUAACCAGUACAAUGUAGACAAUGUUUUGGGCUAUGUUUGGUGUACACAAGUACCAACUUAAAGUGUUAUAUUUUCAACCUCCUUGGCCUUCCUUACCUAAAGAGUAAAGACUCUGAAAACGUGUACUCAAAAUAAGACCAACUAAUACCAGUAAAAUGCAAUUGGUUCUUCCCCAAAAAUCUGCUGGUCUUCAUCAUCUAGAUUUGUAAACUAUCCCUCAAACCAAAAACAAAUAAAUAUUGCUAAGCAUUGUCUGCUCUUCUUUCUUUCA